RNAcentral lists this ribosomal RNA (355 nucleotides) under uncultured bacterium. Its description in RNAcentral is "partial 16S ribosomal RNA". It matches the Rfam family "Bacterial small subunit ribosomal RNA", at positions 355 to 704 of the family's 1533-position model. The record is from RNAcentral.
UGGGGAAUUUUGGACAAUGGGCGCAAGCCUGAUCCAGCCAUGCCGCGUGCGGGAAGAAGGCCUUCGGUUGUAAACCGCUUUGUCAGGGAAGAAAUCUUCUGAGUUAAUACCUCGGGAGGAUGACGGUACCUGAAGAAUAAGCACCGGCUAACUACGUGCCAGCAGCCGCGGUAAUACGUAGGGUGCAAGCGUUAAUCGGAAUUACUGGGCGUAAAGCGUGCGCAGGCGGUUUUGUAAGACAGAAGUGAAAUCCCCGGGCUCAACCUGGGAACUGCCUUUGUGACUGCAAGGCUUGAGUGCGGCAGAGGGGGAUGGAAUUCCGCGUGUAGCAGUGAAGUGCGUAGAUAUGCGGAGG